Molecule: ribosomal RNA, 587 nt
Filed under: uncultured bacterium
Lineage: Bacteria
Description: partial 16S ribosomal RNA
Rfam family: Bacterial small subunit ribosomal RNA
Source: RNAcentral
UGGGGAAUUUUGGACAAUGGGCGAAAGCCUGAUCCAGCAAUGCCGCGUGUGUGAAGAAGGCCUUCGGGUUGUAAAGCACUUUUGUCCGGAAAGAAAUCCUUGGCUCUAAUACAGUCGGGGGAUGACGGUACCGGAAGAAUAAGCACCGGCUAACUACGUGCCAGCAGCCGCGGUAAUACGUAGGGUGCAAGCGUUAAUCGGAAUUACUGGGCGUAAAGCGUGCGCGGGCGGUUUGCUAAGACCGAUGUGAAAUCCCCGGGCUCAACCUGGGAACUGCAUUGGUGACUGGCAGGCUAGAGUAUGGCAGAGGGGGGUAGAAUUCCACGUGUAGCAGUGAAAUGCGUAGAGAUGUGGAGGAAUACCGAUGGCGAAGGCAGCCCCCUGGGCCAAUACUGACGCUCAUGCACGAAAGCGUGGGGGAGCAAAACAGGAUUAGAUACCCUGGUAGUCCACGCCCUAAACGAUGUCAACUAGUUGUUGGGGAUUCAUUUCCUUAGUAACGUAGCUAACGCGUGAAGUUGACCGCCUGGGGAGUACGGUCGCAAGAUUAAAACUCAAAGGAAUUGACGGGGUCAUAGCUGUUUCCU